This 323-nucleotide long non-coding RNA is filed under the name Physcomitrium patens. Its description in RNAcentral is "long non-coding RNA (PPAT_LNC008024)". Lineage: Eukaryota; Viridiplantae; Streptophyta; Bryopsida; Funariales; Funariaceae. The record is from RNAcentral.
AACCCCAGCCUAGUGCACGCCCAGAGCAUCCUGGCCAUCUGGGCUUCCCAGGUGAUUUUGAUGGGAGCUGUGGAGGGUUACCGUGUUGCUGGAGGACCCCUGGGCGAGGUGACAGACCCCAUCUACCCCGGAGGCUCAUUCGACCCCUUGGGUUUGGCUGACGACCCCGACACCUUCGCAGAGUUGAAGGUGAAGGAGAUUAAGAACGGACGAUUGGCCAUGUUCUCGAUGUUCGGGUUCUUCGUCCAGGCGAUCGUGACCGGAAAGGGCCCAUUGGAGAACCUGAGCGACCACUUGGCCGACCCAGUUGCCAACAACGCAUG